UUUCUUUGGAGAGUUUGAUCCUGGCUCAGGACGAACGCUGGCGGCGUGCCUAAUACAUGCAAGUCGAGCGGACC
This 74-nucleotide ribosomal RNA is filed under the name Anoxybacteroides amylolyticum. RNAcentral's name for it is "Anoxybacillus amylolyticus partial 16S ribosomal RNA". It matches the Rfam family "Bacterial small subunit ribosomal RNA", at positions 1 to 72 of the family's 1533-position model. Lineage: Bacteria; Bacillati; Bacillota; Bacilli; Caryophanales; Anoxybacillaceae. The record is from RNAcentral.